RNAcentral lists this ribosomal RNA (752 nucleotides) under uncultured Candidatus Nitrosopumilus sp. RNAcentral describes it as "bacterial SSU rRNA". It matches the Rfam family "Archaeal small subunit ribosomal RNA", at positions 1 to 758 of the family's 1478-position model. Lineage: Archaea; Thermoproteati; Nitrososphaerota; Nitrososphaeria; Nitrosopumilales; Nitrosopumilaceae. The record is from RNAcentral.
AUUUCCGGUUGAUCCCGCCGGACCUGACUGCUAUCGGAUUGAUACUAAGCCAUGCGAGUCUUUGCAGUAAUGCAAGGCGGACUGCUCAGUAACACGUAGUCAACUUAACCUAUGGAUGGGUAUAACCUCGGGAAACUGAGAAUAAUUCCCAAUAGAUCAUUUAUCCUGGAAUGGUUGAUGAUUGAAAUGAUUCGUCGCCAUAGGAUGGGACUGCGGCCUAUCAGCUUGUUGGUGAGGUAAAGGCCCACCAAGGCUAUUACAGGUACGGGCUCUGAGAGGAGAAGCCCGGAGAUGGGUACUGAGACACGGACCCAGGCCCUAUGGGGCGCAGCAGGCGAGAAAACUUUGCAAUGUGCGAAAGCACGACAAGGUUAAUCCGAGUGAUUUCUGCUAAAGAAAUCUUUUGCCAGUCCUAAAAACACUGGUGAAUAAGGGGUGGGCAAGUUCUGGUGUCAGCCGCCGCGGUAAAACCAGCACCUCAAGUUGUCAGGAGGAUUAUUGGGCCUAAAGCAUCCGUAGCCGGCUCUGUGAGUUUUCGGUUAAAUCCAUAUGCUCAACAUAUGGGCUGUCGGAAAUACUGCAGAGCUAGGGAAUGGGAGAGGUAGACGGUACUCGGUAGGAAGGGGUAAAAUCCUUUGAUCUAUUGAUGACCACCUGUGGCGAAGGCGGUCUACCAGAACAUGUUCGACGGUGAGGGAUGAAAGCUGGGGGAGCAAACCGGAUUAGAUACCCGGGUAGUCCCAGCUGUAAAC